Molecule: long non-coding RNA, 273 nt
Organism: Aedes aegypti (yellow fever mosquito)
Lineage: Eukaryota; Metazoa; Arthropoda; Insecta; Diptera; Culicidae
Exons: 2
Source: RefSeq, a predicted model, not a curated record
CGAACACACCGAUGAAACGUCCGUCGGAUUCCGGAUUAGUAUGAGUGAUGAUGGGAAAAAAUUAUUCACACACAGACGCAUCACAAAAAGGUCGGAUUUUCCACACGAUUCACGCGCGAUGAUAUUAUUCCGGAAAAGAAAGAUGGAGAACAGGAAAAAAACAUUCAUUAGAACAAAGGAACUUCGUACAAAAUAUCGAUUCACUAUCUGAUUAUUUUAUCGGUUUCUCCUCCCAUGGAACCGAAGUGGAAAUUUUCAACAUCUUCACAACCA